UUAAGCGACUAAGCGUACACGGUGGAUGCCCUGGCAGUCAGAGGCGAUGAAGGACGUGCUAAUCUGCGAUAAGCGUCGGUAAGGUGAUAUGAACCGUUAUAACCGGCGAUUUCCGAAUGGGGAAAACCCAGUGUGAUUCGUCACACUAUCAUUAACUGAAUCCAUAGGUUAAUGAGGCGAACCGGGGGAACUGAAACAUCUAAGUACCCCGAGGAAAAGAAAUCAACCGAGAUUCCCCCAGUAGCGGCGAGCGAACGGGGAGCAGCCCAGAGCCUGAAUCAGUGUGUGUGUUAGUGGAAGCGUCUGGAAAAGGCGCGCGAUACAGGGUGAACAGCCCCGUACACAAAAAUGCACAUACUGUGAGCUCCGAUGAGUAGGGCGGGACACGUGGUAUCCUGUCUGAAUAUGGGGGGACCAUCCUCCAAGGCUAAAUACUCCUGACUGACCGAUAGUGAACCAGUACCGUGAGGGAAAGGCGAAAAGAACCCCGGCGAGGGGAGUGAAAAAGAACCUGAAACCGUGUACGUACAAGCAGUGGGAGCACAGAGCAAUCUGUGUGACUGCGUACCUUUUGUAUAAUGGGUCAGCGACUUAUAUUCUGUAGCAAGGUUAACCGAAUAGGGGAGCCGAAGGGAAACCGAGUCUUAACUGGGCGUUAAGUUGCAGGGUAUAGACCCGAAACCCGGUGAUCUAGCCAUGGGCAGGUUGAAGGUUGGGUAACACUAACUGGAGGACCGAACCGACUAAUGUUGAAAAAUUAGCGGAUGACUUGUGGCUGGGGGUGAAAGGCCAAUCAAACCGGGAGAUAGCUGGUUCUCCCCGAAAGCUAUUUAGGUAGCGCCUCGUGAAUUCAUCUCCGGGGGUAGAGCACUGUUUCGGCAAGGGGGUCAUCCCGACUUACCAACCCGAUGCAAACUGCGAAUACCGGAGAAUGUUAUCACGGGAGACACACGGCGGGUGCUAACGUCCGUCGUGAAGAGGGAAACAACCCAGACCGCCAGCUAAGGUCCCAAAGUCAUGGUUAAGUGGGAAACGAUGUGGGAAGGCCCAGACAGCCAGGAUGUUGGCUUAGAAGCAGCCAUCAUUUAAAGAAAGCGUAAUAGCUCACUGGUCGAGUCGGCCUGCGCGGAAGAUGUAACGGGGCUAAACCAUGCACCGAAGCUGCGGCAGCGACGCUGAUGCGUUGUUGGGUAGGGGAGCGUUCUGUAAGCCUGUGAAGGUGUGCUGUGAGGCAUGCUGGAGGUAUCAGAAGUGCGAAUGCUGACAUAAGUAACGAUAAAGCGGGUGAAAAGCCCGCUCGCCGGAAGACCAAGGGUUCCUGUCCAACGUUAAUCGGGGCAGGGUGAGUCGACCCCUAAGGCGAGGCCGAAAGGCGUAGUCGAUGGGAAACAGGUUAAUAUUCCUGUACUUGGUGUUACUGCGAAGGGGGGACGGAGAAGGCUAUGUUGGCCGGGCGACGGUUGUCCCGGUUUAAGCGUGUAGGCUGGUUUUCCAGGCAAAUCCGGAAAAUCAAGGCUGAGGCGUGAUGACGAGGCACUACGGUGCUGAAGCAACAAAUGCCCUGCUUCCAGGAAAAGCCUCUAAGCAUCAGGUAACAUCAAAUCGUACCCCAAACCGACACAGGUGGUCAGGUAGAGAAUACCAAGGCGCUUGAGAGAACUCGGGUGAAGGAACUAGGCAAAAUGGUGCCGUAACUUCGGGAGAAGGCACGCUGAUAUGUAGGUGAAGUCCCUCGCGGAUGGAGCUGAAAUCAGUCGAAGAUACCAGCUGGCUGCAACUGUUUAUUAAAAACACAGCACUGUGCAAACACGAAAGUGGACGUAUACGGUGUGACGCCUGCCCGGUGCCGGAAGGUUAAUUGAUGGGGUCAGCGCAAGCGAAGCUCUUGAUCGAAGCCCCGGUAAACGGCGGCCGUAACUAUAACGGUCCUAAGGUAGCGAAAUUCCUUGUCGGGUAAGUUCCGACCUGCACGAAUGGCGUAAUGAUGGCCAGGCUGUCUCCACCCGAGACUCAGUGAAAUUGAACUCGCUGUGAAGAUGCAGUGUACCCGCGGCAAGACGGAAAGACCCCGUGAACCUUUACUAUAGCUUGACACUGAACAUUGAGCCUUGAUGUGUAGGAUAGGUGGGAGGCUUUGAAGUGUGGACGCCAGUCUGCAUGGAGCCGACCUUGAAAUACCACCCUUUAAUGUUUGAUGUUCUAACGUUGACCCGUGAUCCGGGUUGCGGACAGUGUCUGGUGGGUAGUUUGACUGGGGCGGUCUCCUCCUAAAGAGUAACGGAGGAGCACGAAGGUUGGCUAAUCCUGGUCGGACAUCAGGAGGUUAGUGCAAUGGCAUAAGCCAGCUUGACUGCGAGCGUGACGGCGCGAGCAGGUGCGAAAGCAGGUCAUAGUGAUCCGGUGGUUCUGAAUGGAAGGGCCAUCGCUCAACGGAUAAAAGGUACUCCGGGGAUAACAGGCUGAUACCGCCCAAGAGUUCAUAUCGACGGCGGUGUUUGGCACCUCGAUGUCGGCUCAUCACAUCCUGGGGCUGAAGUAGGUCCCAAGGGUAUGGCUGUUCGCCAUUUAAAGUGGUACGCGAGCUGGGUUUAGAACGUCGUGAGACAGUUCGGUCCCUAUCUGCCGUGGGCGCUGGAGAACUGAGGGGGGCUGCUCCUAGUACGAGAGGACCGGAGUGGACGCAUCACUGGUGUUCGGGUUGUCAUGCCAAUGGCACUGCCCGGUAGCUAAAUGCGGAAGAGAUAAGUGCUGAAAGCAUCUAAGCACGAAACUUGCCCCGAGAUGAGUUCUCCCUGACUCCUUGAGAGUCCUGAAGGAACGUUGAAGACGACGACGUUGAUAGGCCGGGUGUGUAAGCGCAGCGAUGCGUUGAGCUAACCGGUACUAAUGAACCGUGAGGCUUAACCU
Molecule: ribosomal RNA, 2907 nt
Filed under: Escherichia coli
Lineage: Bacteria; Pseudomonadati; Pseudomonadota; Gammaproteobacteria; Enterobacterales; Enterobacteriaceae
Description: 23S ribosomal RNA
Rfam family: Bacterial large subunit ribosomal RNA
Source: RNAcentral